UUGAGCUAGCGUUAAGCGAAAACUUCCUUAAUAAUAUAAUUAAAGUUUUGCUUCACGCGAUAAAGUGCUAACACAUGAGAAUCUGAGUAUUGAAUGUUAAAUGUCGGAUAGCGGCGGACGGGUGAGUAACGCGUGGGUAACCUGCCUUAUACAGGGGGAUAACACAGGGAAACUUGUGCUAAUACCGCAUAAUAUCAUUGUAUGGCAUCAUAUGAUGAUCAAAGGAGCAAUCCGGUAUAAGAUGGACCCGCGUCCAAUUAGCUAGUUGGUGGUGUAACGGACCACCAAGGCGACGAUUGGUAGCCGAACUGAGAGGUUGAUCGGCCACAUUGGGACUGAGACACGGCCCAGACUCCUACGGGAGGCAGCAGUGGGGAAUAUUGCACAAUGGGGGAAACCCUGAUGCAGCAACGCCGCGUGAAGGAUGAAGGUUUUCGGAUCGUAAACUUCUUUGAUGAGGGACGAAUAAUGACGGUACCUCAAGAACAAGCCACGGCUAACUACGUG
This 507-nucleotide ribosomal RNA is filed under the name uncultured bacterium. RNAcentral's name for it is "bacterial SSU rRNA". It matches the Rfam family "Bacterial small subunit ribosomal RNA", at positions 1 to 507 of the family's 1533-position model. The record is from RNAcentral.